AUACGUAGGGGGCGAGCGUUAUCCGGAUUCAUUGGGCGUAAAGCGCGCGUAGGCGGCCCGUUUGGUCGGGAGUUAAAUCCGGGGGCUCAACCCCCGCCCGCUCCCGAUACCGGCGGGCUUGGGUCUUGUAGGGGAAGGCGGGAUUUCAAGGGUAGCGGGGGGAUGCGCAGAUAUUUGGAAGAACACCGGUGGCGAAGGCGGCCUUCUGGGCCACGACUGACGCGGAGGCGCGAAAGCUAGGGGAGCGAACAGGAUUAGAUACCCUGGUAGUCCUAGCCGUAAACGAUGGACACUAGGUGUGGGGGGAUGUGCCCUCCGUGCCGCAGCUAACGCAUUAAGUGUCCCGCCUGGGGAGUACGGCCGCAAGGCUAAAACUCAAAGGAAUUGACGGGG
This 393-nucleotide ribosomal RNA is filed under the name uncultured bacterium. RNAcentral describes it as "partial 16S ribosomal RNA". It matches the Rfam family "Bacterial small subunit ribosomal RNA", at positions 523 to 918 of the family's 1533-position model. The record is from RNAcentral.